This 480-nucleotide ribosomal RNA is filed under the name uncultured bacterium. Its description in RNAcentral is "bacterial SSU rRNA". It matches the Rfam family "Bacterial small subunit ribosomal RNA", at positions 28 to 507 of the family's 1533-position model. The record is from RNAcentral.
GAUGAACGCUAGCGGCAGGCUUAAUACAUGCAAGUCGAGCGGGGAUUAUGCUUGAUCGCUUCGGUGAGACGGCAUAUAUCCUAGCGGCGGACGGGUGAGUAACGCGUGGGUAAUCUACCUCGUAGUUCGGGAUAACAGGCCGAAAGGCUUGCUAAUACCGGAUGAGUUCAUGCUUAUGCAUAUAGGCAUGAAGAAAGGGCUAGCCCGCUAUGAGAUGAGCCCGCGUCCCAUUAGCUUGUUGGUGGGGUAAUGGCCUACCAAGGCAACGAUGGGUAGCCGGCCUGAGAGGGUGUACGGCCACACUGGGACUGAGACACGGCCCAGACUCCUACGGGGGGCAGCAGUAGGGAAUUUUCGGCAAUGGGCGAAAGCCUGACCGAGCGACGCCGCGUGAGGGACGAAGGCCUUCGGGUUGUAAACCUCUGUCUGGGGGGAUGAGAACGGACGGUACCCCCGGAGGAAGCCCCGGCUAACUACGUG